Molecule: ribosomal RNA, 253 nt
Filed under: uncultured bacterium
Lineage: Bacteria
Description: partial 16S ribosomal RNA
Rfam family: Bacterial small subunit ribosomal RNA
Source: RNAcentral
UACGGAGGGUGCAAGCGUUAUCCGGAUUCACUGGGUUUAAAGGGUGCGUAGGUGGGUUGGUAAGUCAGUGGUGAAAUCUCCGAGCUUAACUUGGAAACUGCCAUUGAUACUAUCAGUCUUGAAUAUUGUGGAGGUCAGCGGAAUAUGUCAUGUAGCGGUGAAAUGCUUAGAUAUGACAUAGAACACCAAUUGCGAAGGCGGCCGACUGGACACAUAUUGACGCUGAGGCUCGAAAGCAUGGGGAGCAAACAGG